AGAAGAAAGAGGUCAAAAAAAACCUUGAAGUAAAUAAUUCAAAGCAUAAUCAUAAAACUUAGAUCCUGUUUUAAUGAAAAGAAACUAAAACAAAAUAACAGAAAUAGAAAAGCGUACAUACAUAAAUAAAAAAAUCUAAACAAAAUUAACGGACUAUGCAUAGUAUUAUGCAAUAACUGUAUGCAUAGUAUAACGUUUCGCAAACGUCAUCAAUAAAAUCUAAGAAAGAUGUCAAAGAAGCAAUAAAGGACAAUGAUGAUUUUAAUCCUAUGAAACCUAAACAUCUAAAAUACCAGUUGGUGAUAAUACUGAAAUAAGAUCUUGUUAUAUUUUUGAGAUAUCACCAAUUAUGUGUAACAAUUCAUCUAUCUGUCUGUUAUUUCCACACAAGAAGAAGAAAUUCCUGCAGAUUGGAACAAGUUUGCGUCCAGGACACAGCUGCGUGAAGCAGAGCAAUUCACAGCCUUUUCAAUCUGCAAUUCUCAGCCUCUUGGAACUUUCUUGGAACUUUCUUAGAACAACGAAUGAGAAGUCUAGAGAAAGCGGGUGCAGCAUCGUCAAUCUAAUCAUCUUGCAUGUAAAUUUAUAGCCUCUCAAUUUGCUUGAUCCGUUGGAACGACGGAAAAUCAGUUGAAAACAUUAGUGGACGAGCGUGGCUCCAUCAAGGCUUCAAAAAGAACAUCGUGUUUCUUCUGUAAAUAUAAUAUUAUUAAUUUAUUAGUUUAUUAGUUAUUUUACUAG
Molecule: long non-coding RNA, 741 nt
Organism: Frieseomelitta varia
Lineage: Eukaryota; Metazoa; Arthropoda; Insecta; Hymenoptera; Apidae
Exons: 3
Source: RefSeq, a predicted model, not a curated record